This 1055-nucleotide long non-coding RNA is filed under the name Arabidopsis thaliana (thale cress). Its description in RNAcentral is "long non-coding RNA (ATHA_LNC000357)". The record is from RNAcentral. Lineage: Eukaryota; Viridiplantae; Streptophyta; Magnoliopsida; Brassicales; Brassicaceae.
GGCUUCAAAGUAGCUGGGCCUUCUCUUCGCUUAAGGAGUUCCGGGAACUUUUGGGAAUUCCGGCAACUUGGGAAGUUGAGGCAUCGUCGGUAGCUCUGGCUUUGGAAUCUCUGGAACUGCAGGUUUUGUAAUUUCUGGAACCUUGGGCAGUUCAGGUUUUGGAACUUCUGGAAUCUUCGGCAGUUCAGGCUUUGGAAUCUCUGGAAACUUAGGAGCCUCAGACUUUGGAACCUCUGGAACCGUUGGCAAUUCGGGCUUUGGAACCUCUGGCACCUUCGGCAACUCAGGCUUCUGAAUCUCCGGCAUCUUGGGCAACUCGGGUUUCUGAAUCUCCGGCAUCUUAGGUAACUCCGGCAUUUUGGGCAACUCCGGCUUCUGGAUCUCCGGUACCUUAGGAGCCUCAAGCUUGGGAACUUCUGGCAACUUUGGCAACUCAGGUUUCUGAAUCUCCGGCAUCUUAGGUAACUCCGGCAUUUUGGGCAACUCCGGCUUCUGGAUCUCUGGUACCUUAGGAGCCUCAAGCUUGGGAACUUCUGGCAACUUUGGCAACUCAGGCUUUGGAAUCUCUGGCACCUUAGGAGCCUCAGGCUUUUCAGUCUCCAUUAGCUUAGGCACCUCAGGCUUUGAAUUCUCUGGAAACUUUGGCAAAUCAGGCUUUGGAAUCUCUGGAAACUUUGGUAAUUCAGGCUUUGGAAUCUCCGGCAUUUUUGGUAACUCGGGCUUCUGAAUCUCCGGUACCUUUGGUAACUCAGGUUUUGGAAUCUCUGGCAUCUUUGGGAGCUCAGGUUUUGGAAUUUCCGGAAACUUGGGCAAUUCAAGCUUGGGAAUAUCUGGCAGUUUAGUUUCCUCAGGCUUUGGAAUCUCCGGUACCUUUGGUAACUCUGGCUUUGGAAUCUCCGGGAUCUUUGGCAACUCAGGCUUUGGAAAUUCGGGUAACUUGGGCAACUCUGGUUUAGGGAACUCCGGCAACUUGGGAACUUCGAAUUUAGGUAGCUCAGGCAAUUUUGGUAUCUCCGGUUUAGGAUCCUCCAAUAACCGGCGAGCACCGACUGAAA